Molecule: long non-coding RNA, 357 nt
Filed under: Ananas comosus (pineapple)
Lineage: Eukaryota; Viridiplantae; Streptophyta; Magnoliopsida; Poales; Bromeliaceae
Description: long non-coding RNA (ACOM_LNC031032)
Source: RNAcentral
GUAGUGAGAGAGAUUUUUAUUUUAAAUUAGAAUUUAAAUUUUUAAAAUUUAAAAUUUGUAAUCUCAAAAUUAGAAUUUAUAAUUUAAACUUCUAAAUUUAAAGUUUAAAUUUUAAAUUUUAAAUUUGAUAUUUGAUAUUUUUAAAUUUAAAUUUGGUUUUAAAUUUAAAAUUAAAAUUUUAAAGUUUAAUUUCAAAUUUUAACAACUAAAUUUUCAUCCAAACACAAAAUUAGUCUAAUUCGAAAUUUAUACCUAAACUUGUAUAUAUUUCUGGUAUAAACUAGUUCUUACUUAUAUCCGAAGCAAACGAAGCCUAAGUGAUCUGUGUAAAUGCUUGUUUUGUUCCAUUUAUAGAAU